AGCAUUUGCCAAAAAAUAUCUAACUAGCUAUCUCAUUGGAUAUUUACACAAGAGUUUAUACAUAUUUGCCAUCUUAACACCAUGCUAACACAGUUAGAAACACCGUUCAGUUUCUGUUUCAAUAAUUAAAAAAAAAAUCAUCAAAUGAAACCCUAAAAAUUGGAACAACAUCCACUUCUUUUGCAUCCCUUUUUCCUCCACCGAUCUCUCUCAGUUCGUUCGCCACUCUAAGAACCAAGAUCUAAGAAGUUUUGGUGCAUUCAUGUGGUGCAAGAUAGAAGAACGUAUGUCCAGCUAAACAUGUUGUCCUCUUCCGAAUUUUCGAAAGAUUCCUCUAAUUAUUCAAAUAGUAUUUUCACUCAAUGAUUUUAUUCGCUCAUAAUUUUCUAUAAUCUAUUAUACUUGCGCUAGGCAUGGUCGAUGACAAUUGACAAGUCAUUGUUGUUGACAAAGACUGGGGACCCAAGACUUAUCUAUAUACAACAAUAAUUUGUUUCACUAAAUUGAUGCUCAUAUCUUCAUAAGAGAGUUCAAGUUAAAACAAUAUUCCAGAUUAGCAGAAUAUAUAUCUAGAUUGAAUACUUCGUAUUUUAGUAUUUAUAGUUUUUUGAUACGUGUAGAUUGUGCUAUAUGAAUCGUAUAAAUUUGUCCUAAA
Molecule: long non-coding RNA, 655 nt
Organism: Arabidopsis lyrata subsp. lyrata
Lineage: Eukaryota; Viridiplantae; Streptophyta; Magnoliopsida; Brassicales; Brassicaceae
Exons: 2
Source: RefSeq, a predicted model, not a curated record